AGAGUUUGAUCCUGGCUCAGGACGAACGCUGGCGGCGUGCCUAAUACAUGCAAGUCGAACGCUUCUUUUUCCACCGGAGCUUGCUCCACCGGAAAAAGAGGAGUGGCGAACGGGUGAGUAACACGUGGGUAACCUGCCCAUCAGAAGGGGAUAACACUUGGAAACAGGUGCUAAUACCGUAUAACAAUCGAAACCGCAUGGUUUUGAUUUGAAAGGCGCUUUCGGGUGUCGCUGAUGGAUGGACCCGCGGUGCAUUAGCUAGUUGGUGAGGUAACGGCUCACCAAGGCCACGAUGCAUAGCCGACCUGAGAGGGUGAUCGGCCACAUUGGGACUGAGACACGGCCCAAACUCCUACGGGAGGCAGCAGUAGGGAAUCUUCGGCAAUGGACGAAAGUCUGACCGAGCAACGCCGCGUGAGUGAAGAAGGUUUUCGGAUCGUAAAACUCUGUUGUUAGAGAAGAACAAGGAUGAGAGUAACUGUUCAUCCCUUGACGGUAUCUAACCAGAAAGCCACGGCUAACUACGUGCCAGCAGCCGCGGUAAUACGUAGGUGGCAAGCGUUGUCCGGAUUUAUUGGGCGUAAAGCGAGCGCAGGCGGUUUCUUAAGUCUGAUGUGAAAGCCCCCGGCUCAACCGGGGAGGGUCAUUGGAAACUGGGAGACUUGAGUGCAGAAGAGGAGAGUGGAAUUCCAUGUGUAGCGGUGAAAUGCGUAGAUAUAUGGAGGAACACCAGUGGCGAAGGCGGCUCUCUGGUCUGUAACUGACGCUGAGGCUCGAAAGCGUGGGGAGCAAACAGGAUUAGAUACCCUGGUAGUCCACGCCGUAAACGAUGAGUGCUAAGUGUUGGAGGGUUUCCGCCCUUCAGUGCUGCAGCUAACGCAUUAAGCACUCCGCCUGGGGAGUACGACCGCAAGGUUGAAACUCAAAGGAAUUGACGGGGGCCCGCACAAGCGGUGGAGCAUGUGGUUUAAUUCGAAGCAACGCGAAGAACCUUACCAGGUCUUGACAUCCUUUGACCACUCUAGAGAUAGAGCUUCCCCUUCGGGGGCAAAGUGACAGGUGGUGCAUGGUUGUCGUCAGCUCGUGUCGUGAGAUGUUGGGUUAAGUCCCGCAACGAGCGCAACCCUUAUUGUUAGUUGCCAUCAUUCAGUUGGGCACUCUAGCAAGACUGCCGGUGACAAACCGGAGGAAGGUGGGGAUGACGUCAAAUCAUCAUGCCCCUUAUGACCUGGGCUACACACGUGCUACAAUGGGAAGUACAACGAGUCGCGAAGUCGCGAGGCUAAGCUAAUCUCUUAAAGCUUCUCUCAGUUCGGAUUGCAGGCUGCAACUCGCCUGCAUGAAGCCGGAAUCGCUAGUAAUCGCGGAUCAGCACGCCGCGGUGAAUACGUUCCCGGGCCUUGUACACACCGCCCGUCACACCACGAGAGUUUGUAACACCCGAAGUCGGUGAGGUAACCUUUUGGAGCCAGCCGCCUAAGGUGGGAUAGAUGAUUGGGGUGAAGUCG
RNAcentral lists this ribosomal RNA (1508 nucleotides) under Enterococcus faecium NEF1. RNAcentral's name for it is "bacterial SSU rRNA". It matches the Rfam family "Bacterial small subunit ribosomal RNA". The record is from RNAcentral. Lineage: Bacteria; Bacillati; Bacillota; Bacilli; Lactobacillales; Enterococcaceae.